AUUAGAGUAUCAUAAGAGAAACUAGAAGAAAGGAAAGAGACAUCUUCAAGGAUUUGAUGGGCACAGAAGAACUGCCGAGAGGGAAAUAAAUAACAAGAAUCAGCUCACCUAUCACCAAUACCAGCCUGAAAAACUAUGGAACUCUAGGCCAGAACAAGGGAUUAGUAGCUAGAAAUGCCAAAGUAUAUCCAUGCCAAAUUACCAAAAUUAGAAAGCAGCCAUCAUUCAAGAACAAAGAGCAAGCUCAAUCCUAGCGAUGAACCAUCAUAAUACUUGAUACUAGUUUGAAGUCUGAGAGAGACAAACAUGAGUCUAAUUCACAACUCAAACAAACACACAUGGAAAUCCCAAAACACAAUAGAAUGAAAAGUGCUAAAGAUAAAUACUUUGAUCCUGAUAACAGCUAUGGCUAUCAAAUCGAGGUAUGUUUCCCUUCAACGGUAUGUACAUUCCUCGAAGAAACUAUGCGAUUCCUUUCCAGGUGCCUUUGCCGCAUAAGCUCCAAAUCCUUUUCGCGUUCGUCAUUGUGUUUUUUCAUUUUUAUGAGGAU
This 550-nucleotide long non-coding RNA is filed under the name Arabidopsis lyrata. Its description in RNAcentral is "long non-coding RNA (ALYR_LNC000759)". Lineage: Eukaryota; Viridiplantae; Streptophyta; Magnoliopsida; Brassicales; Brassicaceae. The record is from RNAcentral.